GCAUCUGAAACUUUGCCACUCCUUGCAGUACAGUGCUGGGUUGGAGAUACAGGAUGCAACAGGAAAGCAGAGGAAAUCCAGACAAGCUCCACAGUGGACCUUGUCUCUACGCCUUUGCAACAUUU
This is a small nucleolar RNA of Pogoniulus pusillus (Red-fronted tinkerbird), 125 nucleotides long. RefSeq annotates it as small nucleolar RNA SNORA55. NCBI's taxonomy places the organism in Eukaryota, Metazoa, Chordata, Aves, Piciformes, Lybiidae. The transcript has a single exon. The record is from RefSeq and is a predicted model, not a curated record.